This 1024-nucleotide long non-coding RNA is filed under the name Equus asinus (donkey). RNAcentral's name for it is "lncRNA (ENSEASG00005026184.1)". The record is from RNAcentral. Lineage: Eukaryota; Metazoa; Chordata; Mammalia; Perissodactyla; Equidae.
GGAAUUCGCGGCGAUGGCUGCACAGCUCUGACUGUACUGAAAGAACAUCAAAUUAUACACUUGAAAUGGGUGAACUUUGAGGGAUGUAAAUUAUAAGUCAAGAAAGCGGUUAAAAUACUGAUUUCAGGACACAGCCCAGACCUGCUCAAUCAGAAUCUCAAUGUAAAACCAAAGAAUCUGCAUUUCAUCCAAACACCCCAGCAGGAUCAGCUCCAGAGUUUGCAGGCCCCAGCACAAAAUGAAAGUGUAGGGCCCCUGUUCCUAAAUCAUUAAGAAUUUCAAGACAGUGACAACAGAGCUUUAAAACAAGCGUGGGGCCCUUCUGAGCACGGGCCCUGUUCGACUGCACGGGUCGUGGGCCCGUAAAGCCGGCACUGUAGCCCAGACUAAAGUUUGGGGUGCUCGACCCAAAGGAAGGAGGGAAUUUGGUUAGCGUGUGUGCCUCUCCGGUGGCAAAGCUGUAGGGGGAGGAUCUGGAAGUACGAGAGGAAAAAUAAAAAACUGCGUAAGAUUUCCUUUCCCUGCCAGAACAGUGAAUCGGUUUUAGUCAGAAGACCCGUGGUGGAGUCCCCCAGCCAGCGGCUGAGUCAUCUCCAGAACUGUGGGCUUUUGGUGAAAAAAAGAGAAAGGCCCAGGCUGCUGCCAGAUCUUCGGGAGAUCCUGGGUGGGUCUAUCAAUCAAGCAACACUGACCAAGUCUUCUGGUUGAUUCAAGCUGAAUGGGUCGCAGAUCUUCAGGGUUGGUGAAUGCAUCCAUGUGCCGGGGGGGUGGCACAACCUGACCUCAUAGGGACAGAAGCUCCUGGGCUUGAGACCCUUCCGGACCUCGCCUUAUGUGCCUCUUCAUCUAGCUGUUCAUCUGUAUUAUUUAUAAUAUCCAUUAUAAUAAACCAGUAAACAUAAGUAAAAUGUUUUCCUGAGUCCUGUGAGCCAUUCUAGCAAAUUACUAAACCAGAGUAGAGGGUUGUGGGACCCUCUGAUUUGUAGCCAGGUCACACAGAAGUGUGGGUAACCUGGGGACCCGC